UCAGAGAUGUAGUGUCUUGAUGUUCGAAGUUCCUAACAUCAAGUGGUACAUCACUGAGC
Molecule: microRNA precursor, 59 nt
Filed under: Caenorhabditis briggsae
Lineage: Eukaryota; Metazoa; Nematoda; Chromadorea; Rhabditida; Rhabditidae
Description: Cbr-Novel-2_pre stem-loop
Source: RNAcentral